UCUUUCGUUAAUUAUUCCAUAUCUACUCGUUAAUCUCCCUAAGGAAACUAGCCACUCAUGAAUCUAGAUGCAAUUAUCCCUAAUUUCAUAAUUAACAUGCAAAGAAGAAAGUUAAAUAGAGAAAAGGGAAUAAGAGAAUGAAUGCAUUUUUAUGUCAAUUUGCUCCCAAAAGUCAAAUUUCCUUUAACAAUUGUGAAGACAAUUCCAAUUCUAAUUGAAAACUAAAAAGAAAUAAAUAAAAACUACUUAAUUAAAGGCUUGGAUAGAAAUCAAAUCCAAUUUAAACAAAGAAAAAAAUUAUGUUUAUAAAAUAAAAAGGACUAAAUCAAAAUGAAAUAAAAAAUUGGA
This 348-nucleotide long non-coding RNA is filed under the name Gossypium barbadense (sea-island cotton). RNAcentral's name for it is "long non-coding RNA (GBAR_LNC014799)". The record is from RNAcentral. Lineage: Eukaryota; Viridiplantae; Streptophyta; Magnoliopsida; Malvales; Malvaceae.